RNAcentral lists this long non-coding RNA (399 nucleotides) under Volvox carteri. RNAcentral describes it as "long non-coding RNA (VCAR_LNC004348)". Lineage: Eukaryota; Viridiplantae; Chlorophyta; Chlorophyceae; Chlamydomonadales; Volvocaceae. The record is from RNAcentral.
CGACUACUUUCAUGGAUCAUCGACGCCAUCCACGAGGGACCGCCGCUCUCCAAGGAUAAACCACGAGCAGUCCCAGCAUAAACGAACCAUGAGGGUAAGAACGAAAAGACAACGGGAGACUAUAUUUGGUCAACACAGGAGCCAUCAACGCAGCCGGCCGGCGACGGGGGAUCGGGUCAGUGGCCGCCAGCCACUCAACACGAUCUAGAAGCCGCUGAGGAGCUUCUGAGCGGCAACGUAGACCAGGCCGCUCUGCAGCAGGCCAACGCGCAGAACAUGUCAGCUAGGGAUCCGCGGACAGCACCACCGAAGCCUCGGGACCGCUCUCCAGACAUGGUCAUCAUCAAACACAUCGAAACACCCUGCCAUCUGCAAGAGAGCAGCCAUUCUUCCCCCCNN